GCCCGGGUGGCGAAAUUGGUAGACGCUGGAGACUUAAAAUCUUCUGUCCAGUCAUGGACGUGCCGGUUCAAGUCCGGCCCCGGGCA
Molecule: transfer RNA, 86 nt
Filed under: Candidatus Amphirhobacter heronislandensis
Lineage: Bacteria; Pseudomonadati; Pseudomonadota; Gammaproteobacteria; Candidatus Tethybacterales; Candidatus Tethybacteraceae
Description: Betaproteobacteria bacterium AqS2 tRNA
Rfam family: tRNA
About the family: Transfer RNA (tRNA) molecules are approximately 80 nucleotides in length. Their secondary structure includes four short double-helical elements and three loops (D, anti-codon, and T loops). Further hydrogen bonds mediate the characteristic L-shaped molecular structure. tRNAs have two regions of fundamental functional importance: the anti-codon, which is responsible for specific mRNA codon recognition, and the 3' end, to which the tRNAs corresponding amino acid is attached (by aminoacyl-tRNA synthetases). tRNAs cope with the degeneracy of the genetic code in two manners: having more than one tRNA (with a specific anti-codon) for a particular amino acid; and 'wobble' base-pairing, i.e. permitting non-standard base-pairing at the 3rd anti-codon position.
Source: Rfam by way of RNAcentral